RNAcentral lists this long non-coding RNA (518 nucleotides) under Macaca mulatta (Rhesus monkey). RNAcentral describes it as "lncRNA (ENSMMUG00000056283.1)". The record is from RNAcentral. Lineage: Eukaryota; Metazoa; Chordata; Mammalia; Primates; Cercopithecidae.
AGAGGAGCAAUACUUAGGGCACGAUGGCUUCUUUCUAAAAUAGAAGUUGUAUGGGGACAGGAAUUCCUAAGAAAAUGGAAACGUCACUCCCUAGAAACAGUUGAAGUUGACAGACCUAGAGGUUGACAAAAGGACACAACACUAGGGUUAAGACACAUAAAACUGCCACAUGGAGGUGCCAAUUGGUCAAAAAUCAGCAACUUCAUACUGUUCAACCUAAAAGAAGACCACCUUAGGGAAAACUGGCCACGGUUGCUUUACCUAUACCAAAGACCUCAACCAUCAGUACAGCAAGGUCUUGUAAUUCAGAGUCAACACUCUGCAAUCCUAUCUUCUAUUUUCUAACUAAACCUGUCAAGUCACAUUUAAGACCAUCCACAAAAAAAGAAGAUUGCACAGCUGUGACAUUGUCACCCCUACUGAGACCAAAGUAUACCUGGAAUUUACUAGUUAAGCAGUCUCAGAAAUCAGAGAUGGAUUGUUUAUAGAGUUGGAUUCAUUGCCAAUAAAUCUUAAAG